UCAUUCUCGCCACAGACGGCGUACACUAAUGAUUUAAAUUCCGUCGGUUGAGUCCAUAUAUCGUAGUCGUUACACAUUCGAUAAUCUUCAAAUCGGUUUUAAAUUACUUUUGUAUUGUUUAGUUUUGGUAUAACAACUUUUUAAUAUUAAAAAAUAAAUAAACUUGUGUAAAUUUGAAAUGUUUUACCCAUCGCUUCGAUUGUUGAUCGUGUUAAUUGUUGCGAUCACGCGGGUUCAAAUCAACGGCCAAACCAGUAAUACCCAAGUGAAACCUGAGUUGUGGGUCUCCGAUUUGUUUUAUCGCGCGUUGGCUAAUUUCACCGUGAGAAAUGUCGGGAGCACCGCUUGUCAAGAGCAAUCCGAGAUGUAUGACCGCAAUUUAAGAAAUUACACACACUGGGCUAUAAAAAUGGCAGAAUCUUGGAAUCGACAUCCAGUCGGUUUUUUGUCUGGGAAUACAUUUCACAUGGGACUUUAUGAUGAGUGUAUUGAUAUACGUUAUCCAGUUAAAGGCCAGUAUUGCUUAACUGAAACAAAACUAUUACUGUCUGCGGAAAACACCAUUAGUCACAACGAAGUACACAAUAGGAAUAACAUUGGAAGUUAUUAUGCAUGGCAGACCUUACUUGGGUGGAUCGAUUAUCCAGAUCAAAUUCCACGAAAUAUUUUGAAUUUAGGAAUUUGCAUCCCGGAUUCUUGUUCAUCGUCAGAUUUACAAAAAACAUUGCAAAAUGAAUUGGAUAAAGUAUUCUUACCAGAAAAAAUCAAAGCUGUUGUUAAAGUAGAUCCAAUUUUAUGUACUGUCAAAGAAGAUAAAUAUCCUUACAGUAUAGCAUAUCAUAUAACCAGUGCAAUUUUCGUAGUACUUAUUUUUCUUUGCUGUGUUAUUACGAUAUAUCAGUACACAAAAAUAUCUUCCCGACAUGAUACAACUAAAAAAAUAAACGAUAACGAUUCAGUUUUAUAUUCAUUUUCAUUUAUUGAAUCUGGCAAAGAUUUGUUUAAGUACGAUAAAAAUAAUGAAUUAAAUCUAAUUAAUGGAUGUAAAGUUCUGACGAUGGUGUUCAUUCUUUUAGGUCAUCGAUUUAUGUAUUUAGCAGGCAAUCCAAUGACUAAUGCUAAAAUAGUUGAAAAUAUUUAUAUUAGUGGACCUGACAUUCUGUUAACCUGCAUGAACUUAGUUGAUCCAUUUUUUUUCAUGAGUGGCUAUCUUAUUUACAUUACAAUCAUACCAGUAUUUCAAAAAUCUGGACCAAUUUGGAUGAAAAUUGUAUCUCCAAUUAUCUAUAGAGUAUUAAGAAUACUACCAGCAUACUGCGCCGUGAUGGCGAUAACUGCUAAUAUCGUGCCGCAUCUUGGAGACGGUCCACUAUGGUCACAAAAUACAUGGAAAGAAGCCGAGAUUUGUAAAAAAUAUUGGUGGACAAACGUACUGUUUAUAAGUAAUUUUAUUGAUUCCAAGUACCAAUGCCUUUUGAUGGGCUGGUAUUUAUCGUGUGAUAUACAAUUUUUCAUCAUUGGAGUAAUUAUUGUUUGUGUUUAUACGAAGAAUGAAAAAUACGGAAAAAGUUUAAUUGGUGUUUUGAUUGGUGUAUCGCUCUCUUUGCCAUUUAUUAUCACGUAUAUGAGGAAAAUUGAUGGAAUACUUAAAGUUGAUUUGCCAUUCUUAAACAAUCCAAGAAGUUCCACUGUAUAUAACCAAACAUACAGAGAAUCUUAUUCACGAGCAAUUCCUUUCGUCUUUGGGUUAGCAAUGGGUUUUAUAGUACAAAAAUUGAAAAAAUCAAAAUUCAAAUUUUCACAAAACAUUUAUAGAAAACCGUCUAUAUUGGAACCAUCCUCGUCUUCUUGGUUUGUAUGUGUAUUCAACUUAUUGGGGCUGAAUUUUAUAAAAACGAAAGACCUUAUUAUCCAAUUGAACAUGCUUUAUAUGCGACUUUAAGUCAUUGUACUUGGACAACAAUUUGUGCAUGGAUUACUAUUUGCCACCUUACAACUGGUUAUGGAUUGCUUUCAAAAAUACUUACAAAUAGAUUAUGUGUGAUUUUGGGAAGACUCUCAUACAGUGUUUUCUUAAUCAAUUUACCUCUUAUG
RNAcentral lists this unclassified non-coding RNA (2094 nucleotides) under Sipha flava (yellow sugarcane aphid). RNAcentral's name for it is "nose resistant to fluoxetine protein 6-like, transcript variant X2". Lineage: Eukaryota; Metazoa; Arthropoda; Insecta; Hemiptera; Aphididae. The record is from RNAcentral.